AUGGCUGUCGUCAGCUCGUGUCGUGAGAUGUUGGGUUAAGUCCCGCAACGAGCGCAACCCUUGUCCUUAGUUGCCAGCACGUAAUGGUGGGAACUCUAAGGAGACCGCCGGUGACAAACCGGAGGAAGGUGGGGAUGACGUCAAGUCAUCAUGGCCCUUACGGCCAGGGCUACACACGUACUACAAUGGUGGGUACAAAGGGUCGCCAAGCCGCGAGGCGGAGCCAAUCCCAGAAAACCCAUCUCAGUCCGGAUCGCAGUCUGCAACUCGACUGCGUGAAGUCGGAAUCGCUAGUAAUCGCGGAUCAGCAAUGCCGCGGUGAAUACGUUCCCGGGCCUUGUACACACCGCCCGUCACACCAUGGGAGUUUACUGCACCAGAAGCAGGUAGCCUAACCGCAAGGAUGGCGCCUACCACGGUGUGGUCGAUGACUGGGGUGAAGUCGUAACAAGGUAGCCGUACGGGAACGUGCGGCUGGAUCACCUCCUUUAAGAGACCGCGUCCAACAGACUUGUUGGCGCGAGCCCCUUCACAAGUUACCUGCCCAAUUCCUCAAGGUAGCGGCCCUAGAAGCUUGCGCUAUGCUUAGUAACGCUUUGGGCUGCAGAUACAACAUUGGGUCUGUAGCUCAGUUAGUUAGAGCGCACCCCUGAUAAGGGUGAGGUCGGGGGUGCAACUCCUCCCAGACCCACCAAUGUCCUUUGUUUUCGAACGGGGGGGCCAUAGCUCAGCUGGGGGAGCGCCUGCUUUGCAAGCAGGAGGUCAUCGGUUCGAUCCCGAUUGGCUCCACCAGCUUUGCCGCAUACCUUGCCAGGUACAACAGAUUGAGUCGCGCGUCCUGCAUGAACGCGUUGCUCUUUAAAAAUCCGGAAGAUUCUUUUUUGAUUUGACGCUAAGUUUUCAAGCGAAGAUUGUUUUUUGAUUCUCUUGAGAAUGUCGCGUUCGCAUUGAUGUGAGAAAUCAGCUAGUAAGUGUAUGACCCCAAGACUCCUUGAGGUUAUAUGGUCAGGUGAAUAAGCGCAUAUGGUGGAUGCCUAGGCGGUAGAAGGCGAUGAAGGACGUGGUAGCCUGCGAAAAGCGUCGGGGAGCUGGCAAACAAGCUUCGAUCCGGCGAUGUCCGAAUGGGGAAACCCGG
This 1135-nucleotide small RNA is filed under the name uncultured Lysobacterales bacterium. Its description in RNAcentral is "bacterial SSU rRNA". The stretch from base 1 to 490 matches the Rfam family "Bacterial small subunit ribosomal RNA", at positions 1045 to 1533 of the family's 1533-position model. The record is from RNAcentral. Lineage: Bacteria; Pseudomonadati; Pseudomonadota; Gammaproteobacteria; Lysobacterales.